CACCAGGAGCUGAAUCCUCACUUCACACACUCCUAAUAUGGUCAGCCCUGCAGCCAGCAGCCUGGGAGCCAAAGCCUCCUCCUGCCUCCCAAGGUUAACCCUUUGGUGUAGGAAAGAGGGAAACCAGAAUGACGGCUGAUAGUUACAGAGCCUCUGAUUACAAAUAAAAACAAGUGAACCUGCCAUGAUGGAGAAACCAGGACGCAAUCCACUCUCCAAAUAGAAGUGUUUACAGCAUGUGAACGUGAGAUCAAGGAAGCUGGGCAAUGUGAACUGCCUGAACCCCACAGGUCACUGAACUGAAACAGGAAAUCAGAAGAAAGGCAAGGGAGAAAAAACAUUCUUGGGAGGGGGAAAAGACAGCAUAAACAAGAACAGGAAGGGGAAUGCAGGUAUGUGCUGGCCCCUCCCAACAGCCUGUAUGGCUGCUGUCUGCUGGCAACUUCUACCCUCAAUAAGGAAGAGAACAGGCCCAAGCAAAGGGCAGAGAAUGGUUUCAAGAUGCUUUCCUGCUUUUGGGAGACCACCAUCCCAAACUCUGGGACAUUUUGUGUUUCAGAGGAUCUAUCAAGGGGCAGAGCACUGUGGAUUUUGCUAUAAUAUUAAGGACAAGCCAGUCAGUAGUUAGACAGUGAAUGCACCUAAUAAUUCGGUACUGCGGGGACGAAAUACUCAAAGCUCUUCUUUCCUUUGGAGUAAAGAAAACCCCUGUGGCAGCUCUCCCAUAAGAGGCUCUCAAGAUGGGUUUUCUUCGUACAAAAAUAAGAAACAAAGGUUCCAGAUGGAGAGGCUCACAUUGUCGGCAGAUUUAGAAAAACUCCCCUGGAAUCUGUAUGGGUGAUGCAGUUUGGUGCAGACUGACAAAUGUCGGCACAAACCAUCAUCAGAAGGGUGCAAUUGGAGGAAUGAGCAGGAAUUCUCAGGGGCUUGAUUCAGAUCAAGUGUCACACAUAGCACAGACAGAGAAGGCACUGGACCUGUCCAAUCUGUGCUGCAGCUAAAGCUAAAUAACCAGGAAAUGUCAGAAGAGAAAUGUGUCAUCCCCAUUUCUAAUAUGGAUGGCGCAGGGAAGUACCUAUCUGGGGCUUGAAAGCCUGUUGUUCCACUGUCUCUCUUUCUACCACUGACACACUGAUAACUUCAGUACCUGGGAUUGAACUGAGGACCUUGUGCUUGCCAAGCAGGGGAAGAUCAACAGAGGCACUUACUCAGAAUGAAAGGUGGAAGUGGCCAUGGUGCCAGGACCUCCAAACCAUGGAGCUAUGACAAUUGCGAACUUGUGACGAGCAAGAGCCCAAAGGUAAAUCUGAACACUAUUAAAUGGUGUGCUGAGCACAUCCUGGGCAGGCGUUUGUGGGUCAAGCGCUCUAUACAGGGUUUUAAAAAUCACAUUUAAAGAUAGCAUCAUGCAUUAAAGAGAUAAAAAUGCAAUUUGAAAUUUGUUAUAGCAUAGAACAGACUAAUAUUGUGCACUAUUUCCUACUGAAGCCAG
Molecule: long non-coding RNA, 1492 nt
Filed under: Heterocephalus glaber (naked mole-rat)
Lineage: Eukaryota; Metazoa; Chordata; Mammalia; Rodentia; Bathyergidae
Description: lncRNA (ENSHGLG00000050040.1)
Source: RNAcentral